This is a long non-coding RNA of Stomoxys calcitrans (stable fly), 606 nucleotides long. RefSeq lists it as uncharacterized. The transcript has 3 exons. The record is from RefSeq and is a predicted model, not a curated record. NCBI's taxonomy places the organism in Eukaryota, Metazoa, Arthropoda, Insecta, Diptera, Muscidae.
UUGUGUCAUCGUAAAUCCUUGUCAAUAAAGUAACGCGUUUUUGGUUGGAAUCUGACCAUCAGGGCAAUAACAUACAGGACGGUAAAAUCUCGAACAGUCUUGGAGGCCACCACCAAUCGACUAAGCUUCAGUUAACCCACCGAAAUAUGUAUACCGCAUCCACUGAAUGGCGAGUCCUUAGACGCUAUAGACUUGAUGGGACACUGAUUUUGAUUUCCAACCACUCGUAAAACUUCUCACGUUUGUGCGACUAACCCCUAUGGAAUGCCGAUGAAAAUGCAUAUCAAAACAAAAAGUAAAAAAAUGGAAAUAAAAAUAGAGGUAGUUGGAUUGUAAACAAACAAACCCCUCGUCCUGUGUAAGCAUGUGUUCCGAGCACCAGUGGAAUGUACAGAGGCCAAACAACCGCGAUUUUUUGUUCACAUGCGCAUUACAACAAUAGUGGGAAAAUUUAACCCUAUGAAGGCUAACUCGAACCAUAUAAUCGAAGAUCUAUCUCUAAGAGAAGGUGCCGAAAAUUGUGUUCCUUUGAUGAUAUGCCAACUUCUGAAAACUUUGAUUGAACCCAAAAACUUCGUUUUACAAAGACAGCAAUACAACAAAAGG